UAUAAAUAAUACAAAUGCUUUUACAUGCAUAAUUCAAUUUAUACUAUGUUUUAUCUUUAAUUACCGGAUAAUAAAAACAUAACUACUCUCAGGAAGUGUGAGGGAUGGUGACUCAGGCUAAGGUGAGCCUCACAGCCUGGAGGCUGGCUUUAGUGCUGGCUGGGAGAGCUGCAAGGAGAUGGCAUAUGCUGCCGAUGAAGGUGUUCUCCAGGAAUUUUCAGUUAGAAGUUUUGAUCAUUGUUCAUUUGGCCUCAGGAUGAACAUCAUGAAUAACUGGGAGAUGAAACAGGAAGCUCUAUGACACACUUGAUCGAAUAUGACAGACACUGAAAAUCACGACUCAUCCCCCUCCAGCACCUCUACCUGUUGCCCGCCGAUCACAGCCGGAAUGCAGCUGAAAGAUUCCCUGGGGCCUGGUUCCAACUGCCCACUGUGGACUCUGAGGCCUCUGCAUUUGCGGGUGGUCUGCCUGUGAUAUUUUGGUCAUGGGCUGGUCUGGUCGGUUUCCCAUUUGUCUGGCCAGUCUCUGUGUGUCUUAAUCCCUUGUCCUUCAUUAAAAGCAAAACUAAA
Molecule: long non-coding RNA, 570 nt
Filed under: Homo sapiens (human)
Lineage: Eukaryota; Metazoa; Chordata; Mammalia; Primates; Hominidae
Description: HSALNT0305070
Source: RNAcentral